Lagopus leucura (white-tailed ptarmigan) is the source of this 319-nucleotide long non-coding RNA. RefSeq lists it as uncharacterized. Lineage: Eukaryota; Metazoa; Chordata; Aves; Galliformes; Phasianidae. The transcript has 3 exons. The record is from RefSeq and is a predicted model, not a curated record.
AAGAGAUACAGGCUGUACGAGAUCUUACAGAUCAACUGGAGUACUGUUCUUGGAAGAAAAAAAUCAGUUCAGACAAAACCAUACCAACAUCAAACUGCACACUGCCACAUCGCUACACUGUAAGUCACCUGCUGAACUACUCAUAACACUGCCCAGUGCAUCAAGGAGAAGGUCCUACAUCCAAGUACUAACCAUGUUUAGCCUGUGGAGACUGACAAAAUCACAGCAGAAGGGGCGUUGGACUAGAUGACCUUUAAAGGUCCCUCCCAACUCUAUGGAUUCUGUGAUUCUAUAAUGUGAGCACAUGGACUAUUCUGCU